AACGGUCUAUACCUGCGGUACCUGCGGAAGGAUCAUUAGCGUGUUCUGACACCCGCUGACCCCCUGUGAAUGCGCGGCGCGGCCGCUGUUGUUGCCUCGGCCAGACGCCCCAGGGCGGGGCCCCCGGCCUGGGAAGACCAGGCGCUGGCCGGCGGCGCGAACUUCUGGAUCCUGAUCGAGGGGAGCUCUGAGUCGACCGAGACGCGAAUCGCGAAAGAAAAACUUUCAACAAUGGAUCUC
RNAcentral lists this unclassified non-coding RNA (240 nucleotides) under soil metagenome. RNAcentral's name for it is "partial contains 5.8S ribosomal RNA, internal transcribed spacer 2, and large subunit ribosomal RNA". The record is from RNAcentral.